GGCUAUAGCUCAGUGGUAGAGCGCAUGUCUAGCAUACCAGAUGCCCUGGAUUCAAUCCCCAGUUCA
This 66-nucleotide transfer RNA is filed under the name Marmota monax (woodchuck). RNAcentral's name for it is "tRNA.Ala". The record is from RNAcentral. Lineage: Eukaryota; Metazoa; Chordata; Mammalia; Rodentia; Sciuridae.